RNAcentral lists this unclassified non-coding RNA (708 nucleotides) under Leptinotarsa decemlineata (Colorado potato beetle). RNAcentral's name for it is "guanine nucleotide-binding protein subunit beta-like protein, transcript variant X1". Lineage: Eukaryota; Metazoa; Arthropoda; Insecta; Coleoptera; Chrysomelidae. The record is from RNAcentral.
GGUUUUUGUGUUUCUCGUUCUUUCGCUUGUUGGUUGUCGUCGUGUUGGUAUCGUAAAUAUCGGUAUUUACUCAAUUAACGUAUAUAUUAUUCAAAAUGAGUGAAACUCUUCAACUGAAAGGGACCUUACUUGGUCAUAAUGGUUGGGUUACUCAAAUUGCCACAAAUCCUAAAUAUCCCGAUAUGAUUUUAUCUUCCUCACGAGAUAAAACACUCAUCGUGUGGAAGUUAACACGUGAAGAAACCCAAUAUGGAGUGCCACAAAAGCGUCUGUAUGGUCACUCCCAUUUUAUAUCUGAUGUAGUACUUUCUAGUGAUGGAAACUAUGCUCUCUCUGGUUCAUGGGAUAAAACUCUACGUCUUUGGGAUUUGGCUGCUGGCAAAACUACUAGAAGAUUUGAAGAUCAUACAAAGGUUGGAAGCGAUUGGAUUUAUUUGCAAGAGUGGUAAUUCCUUAAACAGUGUCUGGUCCUUUGAACUAUACAAUAAGUAAAUGCAACUCUUAUCAGAGGUCUGUUUUCGGAAAUACCACGUGCAUUUAGUGGAUAAAAAUAAUAUUUCCCCCAUUAUGACAGCUAGAAGAUUUUUUUUGUAUAAUUGAAAAACUGAGGUUCGGAACUUCGUCUGAAAUUUUACUACAUUCAAAAUGAGACGUAUUGAGUGUUGCAUUCUCCGUAGAUAAUCGUCAGAUAGUUUCUGGCUCUCGAGA